Molecule: small nucleolar RNA, 145 nt
Organism: Myotis daubentonii (Daubenton's bat)
Lineage: Eukaryota; Metazoa; Chordata; Mammalia; Chiroptera; Vespertilionidae
Product: small nucleolar RNA SNORA23
Source: RefSeq, a predicted model, not a curated record
AGAACACACAGGGCAGGCAAAUUCUUGCCAGGCAUCCACACAAACAUCAUGCAGCCAAAGAGUAAGUUGGGAUCGUAGUACUGGCCUGGUGUUAUCUCAUUGGACAUAAUUUACCACUGGCCAGCCUCCAAAUUCCCACACAGAA